This is a long non-coding RNA of Melanotaenia boesemani (Boeseman's rainbowfish), 672 nucleotides long. RefSeq lists it as uncharacterized. The transcript has 3 exons. The record is from RefSeq and is a predicted model, not a curated record. Lineage: Eukaryota; Metazoa; Chordata; Actinopteri; Atheriniformes; Melanotaeniidae.
CUUUGCAAAAGCAGGAAGGUCAGGAAGAGUGCUGCAUCUGGCGUGAAAGCUUCAUCGUAUAAAGGUAACCGUACCAGGAAAGCAAAGUAGCUAGUACCACCAACGUUUGCCUUAGAGGUAAGCUCUUCAGAAUUUUUGAGAGGAGUAGGCUACAUAAUAUUGACGUCAGACCGUUUUAUGUUAAACUGGUGUCCAGUAAUUAAUGCUAGUGGGUAUUUCAAGGCAGUCAGCAAGUUUGCAGUAGCCUUUUCCAAUAUAUUUAAUUUUUUAUCUCUGUAAUUAUAGACAAAUACAUUACAUUACAAAGUUGCCUCUAUGUAACAUUUGCUGCCUUUGCAUUGUGCAUGUGUUCUUUGCCACACACAAUUGUUCCCAGAUGGAAACUCGUUUGACCAAAAGGGUGUGUGAGGCGAUGAAGGCCGAGGAAGCUCAGGAAGAAGUUGUGGACGAGACAAACAAGGACAACCAGACAGAUGUGGAAGAGGUCCCCGUUCGACUGAAGAAAAAGAAGCUAGUCAAAUAUUCCCCAAAGAAACUGAUGUCUCCAACAGGGGCAUUGGAGUUGGCCAAGCUGAAAGAACAAGCCAAGGUGGAUCAACACAAGAUUAAACACCUUGAGGACCGCAUUAAAUACCUGGAAGAGGCCAACAGGGAUCUAAAAAAUGACAAGGA